RNAcentral lists this long non-coding RNA (1044 nucleotides) under Lupinus angustifolius (narrow-leaved blue lupine). Its description in RNAcentral is "long non-coding RNA (LANG_LNC003337)". Lineage: Eukaryota; Viridiplantae; Streptophyta; Magnoliopsida; Fabales; Fabaceae. The record is from RNAcentral.
UUUUUGUUUCGCUCUUUUUAGGUGAAUGGAUGAACAAUUCUGCAGGAUAAUCAUUUUCACCUCAUGUUAUCACCAUAAGACUUGGGGAGGUAGUUACAUUCUUCCAUUUCAUAAGAAACAUGUUUUGAUGCUCUUAUUCGUUUAGUUUUCUUAUUCUUCAUUUCUAGGAUCCUGAUUAUAAAGAUGUUGAGGGUGUAGACAUAAUUACCAAACAGGUGUUAUACUAGUUCUAUCUUGUCAUUGAUUUGUGAUAAAUAUAGUAAAUUAAUUUUGAAAAAACAUGAUGAAUGAUAAAAAAAUUAGCUUUGUUGUCCAUGCUCUUUUCUGGUGCAUAUGAUAUGGUAAUUAAGGGUAGGAUAUCCAUUCAUGUAACGGAGUGGCAUCAUAUAUUUUGCCAACAGUUUAUACCGGAUACAACUUAAUUUUAUUUGACUCAUAUUUUAUAACUAAUAUACUUUAAUUUACCAAUAAUAUGGAUGUUGCACUAAAUUGUUUCAUCAUAAUCUUGUUGAGGUCAUUGGCAGGUAAUGCUUAAGAAAGCAGAUGAUUCUUAUGCUUGCAUAACAGAAAGUGCUAUGCGCUUUACCCUUGGCGAAGUUAGUUCAUGAACUAUAGCUAUUUAUUUGAUUACUGCAUGAAUGUGUAAUUUUUUUUUCAUAGGAGCUAUGUAGAAAAAAGCUGGUGAAUGUAUAGUUUAUUCGAAAGAAGCAAUUAAUUCUGUUUAAUGGUGAUUCUAAGUCUAAUUCAAGAAGAAUGCGUGAGAUGACAGUGACAUUAUCAUGUUACUUUUUAUUUAUUUAGACUUUGCACUUAUUACUUUUUAUUUAUUUAGAAAAGCUUAAUUUUGAAUUAAGUUUUCAAUCUUUUAGAUGGUGAAUGGAAAACCACCAGGUUGUGGAAACUUAUAUGUUGUUACUCAUAAAAGGCGUGAGAUGAGUGACAUUAUCAAUAUUGUUUUAUUGUUCCAACUAAUUGUUUUCAUUUUAUUAUUCCAGGCAAAUGAGGAUGCAAAAAUGUUUAAUACACCUUUGAGUGCAAGAUGAU